RNAcentral lists this ribosomal RNA (184 nucleotides) under Amblyomma americanum (Lone Star tick). RNAcentral's name for it is "partial 16S ribosomal RNA". The record is from RNAcentral. Lineage: Eukaryota; Metazoa; Arthropoda; Arachnida; Ixodida; Ixodidae.
UAAAACUUUUUAUUUUAAUUGGGGCGAUUUAACUAAAUAUUAAAAACUUUUUUAAUAAAAAAUAUGAACCGUUAUUAACGGGCAUUUGAAAAAAAUACUCUAGGGAUAACAGCGUAAUAAUUUUUGAUAGUUCUUAUAGACAAAAUAGUUUGCGACCUCGAUGUUGGAUUAGGAUAUUUUUUUA